CGGACGCAGCUGAGCCCUCCCGUGACAAGACACGAGCGGCAAACCGGGCAUGCCCGCCACCCCACCCCAUCCCCGGUUUCUCCCCUGUUUUCACAGUGGCUCCGUGGCUGGACCGGACUCCCGACGUCGCGCAUGAAUUGAAACCGCAGCAGAACUGGCGUCACGUUAGUGAGCUGCGGGCAUGAUGCACGGACGACCGGCCACGCACACGCCGCUGCAGAGGAGGGGGUUAUCCAAAGACUGCGAAAGAAAAAGCAGAGAGCGGGCCCGCAGUGGAGGACCAGACCGGAGCAGGGAGGAGAGACAGGGCGGAAGGAGGAGAGAAGAGGAUGAUGGACAGAAGACGCAGGUUCGCUUCUGAAAUAAAUUUAGAAAAAAGAAAAUAUCCAUUCACAUUGAAGCACAGAGAAUGGCUGAGUAAACCCAUGAAAGUUGUAAAAGGUGACACCAAACAACCAGAAAUGGAGACAAAAAAAUACAAGAGUGAUUCUAUAAUUAGGGGUUUAAGUCAUAUCCAUAUUUAUCAGUUUGAUCAACUACUGACUUCAGCCAAUGAAUGAAGAUUCAGACGUCUGAUUUAUUUUCACAAAAACAGUAAUAAGAAAUAUUAUCAGAUGCUUACUUCCCAAAAUAAAUAAAAGCCUGUGAAAAGAAAGUAAAUCUUCUGUGUCCCUUGAUAUGAUCAUGUCAAAAACUCAGCUUGGCAUGACAAUAAUCUCCUACAUCAUGUUUUCCUUUUUUCUAACUGUGUGUGUGGGGGUACUUUUUUGAAAAGAAUCUUACCACAUUGGCA
Non-coding RNA from Oryzias latipes (Japanese medaka), 793 nucleotides. The record is from RefSeq and is a predicted model, not a curated record. Lineage: Eukaryota; Metazoa; Chordata; Actinopteri; Beloniformes; Adrianichthyidae.